RNAcentral lists this ribosomal RNA (460 nucleotides) under uncultured bacterium. RNAcentral's name for it is "bacterial SSU rRNA". It matches the Rfam family "Bacterial small subunit ribosomal RNA", at positions 338 to 795 of the family's 1533-position model. The record is from RNAcentral.
CCUACGGGAGGCAGCAGUGAGGAAUAUUGGUCAAUGGGCGCGAGCCUGAACCAGCCAAGUAGCGUGAAGGAUGACUGCCCUAUGGGUUGUAAACUUCUUUUAUAUUAGAAUAAAGUGCAGUAUGUAUACUGUUUUGUAUGUAUAAUAUGAAUAAGGAUCGGCUAACUCCGUGCCAGCAGCCGCGGUAAUACGGAGGAUCCGAGCGUUAUCCGGAUUUAUUGGGUUUAAAGGGAGCGUAGGUGGACUGGUAAGUCAGUUGUGAAAGUUUGCGGCUCAACCGUAAAAUUGCAGUUGAUACUGUCAGUCUUGAGUACAGUAGAGGUGGGCGGAAUUCGUGGUGUAGCGGUGAAAUGCUUAGAUAUCACGAAGAACUCCGAUUGCGAAGGCAGCUCACUGGACUGCAACUGACACUGAUGCUCGAAAGUGUGGGUAUCAAACAGGAUUAGAUACCCCGGUAGUC